CAGCACCCUGAGAUCAUGACCUGAGCUGAAGGCAGAUGCUUUACUGACUGAACCACCCAGUUUCAGAGAUAGAGUUCAGUGAUUCAUCAGAUGAAUAUACUACCUAGUGCUCAUUACAUCAUGUGCGCUCCUCGAUGCUCAUCACCUGAAAAGAAAUCAAGUGACCUGCCCAAGGGCACACACCUACAAGUGGUGGAACCUAGACUUGAUUCCCAAGCUUCACAUCCUUACUGACUUGCUCCCCUUCUUACUAUGCCUUCCAGGGGAUGUCUUGGGGCUGCUGCCAUCGACUUAACAGGAAUGAAUGGCCUCAAGGGAACACUUAAGCAAAAGUUUACUACAGAGACACCAGAGAGGCAAAGUAAGAAUUCAGAAGGAAAGUGAUUUAGAAGAACAACAGGUGAAACAGGCAGCUGAUGUGGUGGAAAAGACAGCUCUGAGAAGACCCAGACCAGCCUGAUCACAGGGAGAAGCAAUGAUCCCUGAUUUAGCAAGUUGUCCAAGCCCAAAACUCAUGUCUCCUUAACCAAUGAAAACUAUUACUUGGCAUUAAACUGUGAAGUAAACAAACAAAUAGAAAGAAAAGCAAUUUGAUCUUCUAUAAGAAAUGUAUCUGUCUAUCCAGUGAAAGAGAAGAGAAACAAUAGCAUAAAAUAAUAGAAUAAAAAUUGCAUUUCAUGACAAGGCUCACCUUGCACAGUGCCCAAGCUGCUGGAGCCAGGUGGCCUGGAUUCAAGCGACAUUUUAUCAGUAGGCUCCACGCUCAGCAUGGAACCCAAAGUGGAGCUUGAAAUUAAGACCCUGGGAUCAAGACCCGAGCUGAGAUCAAGAAUUCAAUGUGCUUAACCUACUGAACCACCGAGGCACCCCUAGGAAUCCUUUCUGUAAAUGAAUACAGUUCCCAUAAAGUGGCUAUAAUGCCAACCCUUAAAAACUGAAUGUUUGGUUAUUGCACAGAUAUUAGAAUCACAGAUACAUAUAUAUGCAAAUUUUAUUUAUAGAGGAGAGAUGUACAUAUGCAUG
This is a long non-coding RNA of Canis lupus familiaris (dog), 1023 nucleotides long. RefSeq lists it as uncharacterized. The record is from RefSeq and is a predicted model, not a curated record. The transcript is spliced from 5 exons. Lineage: Eukaryota; Metazoa; Chordata; Mammalia; Carnivora; Canidae.